Molecule: small nuclear RNA, 107 nt
Organism: Tursiops truncatus (common bottlenose dolphin)
Lineage: Eukaryota; Metazoa; Chordata; Mammalia; Artiodactyla; Delphinidae
Source: Ensembl
GUGCUCACUUUGGCAGUAACUAUAGUAAAAUUGGAACAGUAUGAAGAAGACCAACAUUGCCCCUGCACAAAGAUGGCACACAGACAUGUGAAAAAAAAAAAUGGUGC